RNAcentral lists this ribosomal RNA (681 nucleotides) under Bacillus altitudinis. RNAcentral describes it as "bacterial SSU rRNA". It matches the Rfam family "Bacterial small subunit ribosomal RNA", at positions 88 to 755 of the family's 1533-position model. The record is from RNAcentral. Lineage: Bacteria; Bacillati; Bacillota; Bacilli; Caryophanales; Bacillaceae.
GAUGUUAGCGGCGGACGGGUGAGUAACACGUGGGUAACCUGCCUGUAAGACUGGGAUAACUCCGGGAAACCGGAGCUAAUACCGGAUAGUUCCUUGAACCGCAUGGUUCAAGGAUGAAAGACGGUUUCGGCUGUCACUUACAGAUGGACCCGCGGCGCAUUAGCUAGUUGGUGAGGUAACGGCUCACCAAGGCGACGAUGCGUAGCCGACCUGAGAGGGUGAUCGGCCACACUGGGACUGAGACACGGCCCAGACUCCUACGGGAGGCAGCAGUAGGGAAUCUUCCGCAAUGGACGAAAGUCUGACGGAGCAACGCCGCGUGAGUGAUGAAGGUUUUCGGAUCGUAAAGCUCUGUUGUUAGGGAAGAACAAGUGCAAGAGUAACUGCUUGCACCUUGACGGUACCUAACCAGAAAGCCACGGCUAACUACGUGCCAGCAGCCGCGGUAAUACGUAGGUGGCAAGCGUUGUCCGGAAUUAUUGGGCGUAAAGGGCUCGCAGGCGGUUUCUUAAGUCUGAUGUGAAAGCCCCCGGCUCAACCGGGGAGGGUCAUUGGAAACUGGGAAACUUGAGUGCAGAAGAGGAGAGUGGAAUUCCACGUGUAGCGGUGAAAUGCGUAGAGAUGUGGAGGAACACCAGUGGCGAAGGCGACUCUCUGGUCUGUAACUGACGCUGAGGAGCG